Rhincodon typus (whale shark) is the source of this 359-nucleotide long non-coding RNA. RefSeq lists it as uncharacterized. NCBI's taxonomy places the organism in Eukaryota, Metazoa, Chordata, Chondrichthyes, Orectolobiformes, Rhincodontidae. The transcript has 2 exons. The record is from RefSeq and is a predicted model, not a curated record.
CACCGCACAAUGAAUGGUGUCCUCAGUGGGAAGGUGCGACUUCUGUCACCACAACAACUGUGGGAUGGUCAAUCUUCAGGAUACCAGCAUUGAGAUGCAUCUGUUCCAGAACUAAGAACAAGAAACAUGGAAGAAAACGGACACAAUUUUUACACAGAGAAGAGGGUAUUGAUUGGUUGUACCAUAACUGACAUAGAGACACUGCAAGAACAGUUAACUGUCAAUCUUAAUUCUCAAACCUGGCAGAUAGAUUCUGAUUGGUCAGGGUGUUGCUAUGCGGCAAAGUUUAAUUAUCUUCAUGACCCCUUUUAUUUAAAAGGAUGCAGUGUAUAUAAAAGAACUAUUUUUAUCAACAUAAA